UGGGGAAUAUUGGACAAUGGGGGCAACCCUGAUCCAGCCAUGCCGCGUGAGUGAUGAAGGCCUUAGGGUUGUAAAGCUCUUUCGCCGGUGAAGAUAAUGACGGUAGCCGGUAAAGAAGCCCCGGCUAACUUCGUGCCAGCAGCCGCGGUAAUACGAAGGGGGCUAGCGUUGUUCGGAAUUACUGGGCGUAAAGCGCGCGUAGGCGGAUCUUUAAGUCAGGGGUGAAAUCCCGGGGCUCAACCUCGGAAUUGCCUCUGAUACUGGAGAUCUUGAGUUCGAGAGAGGUGAGUGGAACUCCGAGUGUAGAGGUGAAAUUCGUAGAUAUUCGGAAGAACACCGGUGGCGAAGGCGGCGACCUGGUCCGGUACUGACGCUGAGGCGCGAAAGCGUGGGGAGCAAACAGGAUUAGAUACCCCGGUAGUCC
RNAcentral lists this ribosomal RNA (424 nucleotides) under uncultured prokaryote. Its description in RNAcentral is "bacterial SSU rRNA". It matches the Rfam family "Bacterial small subunit ribosomal RNA", at positions 355 to 796 of the family's 1533-position model. The record is from RNAcentral.